Molecule: ribosomal RNA, 574 nt
Filed under: uncultured fungus
Lineage: Eukaryota; Fungi
Description: eukaryotic LSU rRNA
Rfam family: 5.8S ribosomal RNA (bases 195-348)
Source: RNAcentral
AAGUCGUAACAAGGUCUCCGUUGGUGAACCAGCGGAGGGAUCAUUACCGAGUUUACAACUCCCAAACCCCUGUGAACAUACCACUUGUUGCCUCGGCGGAUCAGCCCGCUCCCGGUAAAACGGGACGGCCCGCCAGAGGACCCCUAAACUCUGUUUCUAUAUGUAACUUCUGAGUAAAACCAUAAAUAAAUCAAAACUUUCAACAACGGAUCUCUUGGUUCUGGCAUCGAUGAAGAACGCAGCGAAAUGCGAUAAGUAAUGUGAAUUGCAGAAUUCAGUGAAUCAUCGAAUCUUUGAACGCACAUUGCGCCCUUUGGUAUUCCGAAGGGCAUGCCUGUUCGAGCGUCAUUAUCACCCCUCAAGCCCCGUGCUUGGUGUUGGACGGUCGGUCGAAGGGUCCCCCCCUCGACCCGUCCUAAAGACAACGACGGCGGCCUGUGGUUCCCCCGGUACACUGAGCUUUUCACCGAGCACGUACCGGACGAGGGCGCCCAGGACCCGGUCUUCUCCUCUCGCGAGGAACUAUUUUUUCAAGGUUGACCUCGGAUCAGGUAGGAAUACGCGCUGAACUUAA